UACAGAGGGUGCGAGCGUUAAUCGGAAUUACUGGGCGUAAAGCGUGCGUAGACGGUUAUUUAAGUCGGAUGUGAAAGCCCCGGGCUCAACCUGGGAAUUGCAUUCGAGACUGAAUAGCUAGGGUACGGUAGAGGGAAGCGGAAUUUCCGGUGUAGCGGUGAAAUGCGUAGAUAUCUGGAGGAACACCGGUGGCGAAGGCGGCAUCCUGGACUGGUCCUGACACUCAUGAGCGAAAGCGUGGGGAGCGAUCCGG
This 253-nucleotide ribosomal RNA is filed under the name uncultured bacterium. Its description in RNAcentral is "partial 16S ribosomal RNA". It matches the Rfam family "Bacterial small subunit ribosomal RNA", at positions 524 to 776 of the family's 1533-position model. The record is from RNAcentral.